UUGAUGAUAUGGAUUUUUUCAAGUUAGAGCUAUUUGAUUGAAUAUAGAUUUCAUAAAUCAAUCUUAGAUCAUCCUGAUAUAAGGUUGUCCUAACAUAACGAGGGUCGUUAUGUGGUAUGGUUGUCCUAAGAUAAAAACAAAUUGAUACACAAAACAUCAUAAGAAAUUAGCAUGAACAUAAGGACUAUGUGAUAGCCAUGUAUGUGUUUUUCAUGGAUACAUGUAGUGAUCUCCAUGAAUCACUACAAAUCUUAGGAGUAGAGUUGUAUCAUAAAUACACUUUAGAUGAUUGUAAUCUCAAUCUCUGGUGUGGAACCAAAAGUCAAGUCUAAUUUGGAAUAGGUUGACCUAUUGGUGUUUAAGAUAAGUGCUUUAAAAGAUGGUUACUUAAUUAGGACCGUUGCAUUAGCAGCGGGGAGCCUCCCACCAAUCAUCACUUAUUUGAUCAAUUUGGUUGAUCAAAUUCUAAUUUGGGAUGCUUAGUGUUGAGUUCACCAUGAUUGUGUUGCACCAUGAGUCUGAUCUUGAUGAAUUAAAAUGCGAUCUCACUAAUAGAUCCAAUUUAAUUGUAAAUUUAUAUGUGAUUUAAAUAAAUAAUUAAAACCUAAGAAGAUCAAAAUAAAUUUUCUCAUAAAAUAUUAAAUCGAGUAAUCUUCCACCAUUGUAGAUGUACGGGCCCUUCCGAAUGUUGAACGUUCUCGACUGGUCACAGUGGUUUAGUUGCAUCAACGAAGAUGCAACCACUCUAUAGCAUGAGAUGCUUUAGGAUAAAGAUAGGAUUUAGCCCAAUAACUCUUAGAUGAGGAAUCCAAUGACAGUUUUAUACCUGCUAGUGAGCGGUGGGUCAGACUUAACUAAGAAAUAAGAUCCAUAACUAUUAGAUGAGGCCUUAGGACUUAGAGGUCAAAGAUCACUGCAACAUGCUUGGAGAAGUAUUCAACAAGAGUUGUUUACUUAUUGAUUGACACAUCCUCAAUAACUGUCAAGUGAGAUGGUGUGCUGAUCAGUGGAACCGCAAUAUCCAUUUGAAACCUUAGUUAUGAAGGAUUUCAAUUUCUCUACUUGAGGUAUGUAUGAGAUUCAAAAAAAUAGAGGGAGACAUAUUUAUUUUAAAAGAUUCUAGAAAAAAUAUUAAAAUCAAGUACGAAAAUCUAACUAGAAUCUCUGUAGGAUUUUAGGGUGGACAUACACAGUGAAAGAAUAAUAGAUUUUAAAAUUUAAAUUAAGAAAUUCUAAAUAUAAAACCCUUAAACCAGCAUCUCCUUGAUGAUUAACAAUCAUAUAUAACUUAAAUUCAAAAUUAAAUUCAAGCUAUAGAAGAAUACCUGCAGCACUUAAUUCUAUUUCUCUUUUGGACACCAGGACCUUAAGACCCUCUUCCUCUUCUCCUAGCCUUCCUAUCCCUACCUUUCUUCUCUCCUUGUCUUCUUUAAUUUUCUUCCUAGACUCUUGUCCUAAAAUUGGACUUGUCCUUUCUAUUUUGGACUUGUCCUAACAAGAGAAAGAAGGGACUAAUUAGACAAUAGAGAGAGAAUAUUAGAAAGAAAGGAAGAAUUGAAAAUCUGAAUGAAUCCAAUCCCCCGACGCACCCUCCUUUAAAUACUUAGCCACAGGUUGCCUUCGGGAAUUAUUUGUGCCCCUUCCACAUGCCAUCUUACAUCCAUCAAAAGAUCUCACACCUCCUGAUGAAUUUUCAUGCCCAUCUGAAAGAUUUUGACACAUGACAAUCAUCGAAAAAAAAUUUAAGAGAUGCUUCACGCAGAAGAACUCUUCAGAAUAUUUUUCUCGAUGAUUCUCCGAAGCGUCGUAUAGCUUCCUAUGGCAUAAUUUUUUUUCACCACCCAUUAGUACAAUUUUGUCCAUCCAAUAUCCAAAAAUAAAGGCACUAACAUCAAAAUGGUGUGGAAAAAAAUCUCAGAUUAAGAAGUGGCGUGACAAAUGGGCUAGAGUCCUUCACAAGUUGGACUC
Molecule: long non-coding RNA, 1968 nt
Filed under: Elaeis guineensis (African oil palm)
Lineage: Eukaryota; Viridiplantae; Streptophyta; Magnoliopsida; Arecales; Arecaceae
Description: long non-coding RNA (EGUI_LNC035719)
Source: RNAcentral